RNAcentral lists this long non-coding RNA (1002 nucleotides) under Vombatus ursinus (common wombat). RNAcentral's name for it is "lncRNA (ENSVURG00010019464.1)". The record is from RNAcentral. Lineage: Eukaryota; Metazoa; Chordata; Mammalia; Diprotodontia; Vombatidae.
UUGCUUUGAACUUGAGUCCCUCUCCUUCCUCCUCGUCCUUCUUUUCUCUUCCCUUCCCUUCCCUUCCCUUCCCUUCCCUUCCCUUCCCUUCCCUNNNNNNNNNNUCCCUUCCCUUCCCUUCCCUUCCCUUCCCUUCCCUUCCCUUCCCUUCUCUUCGCCCGGCAGAUGUCACUGUAGCCUAGGACUCGCGACCACAGCGGGCAGGGCUGGAAGCUUCCCCCACAACCCCCCCGCCCCGACUUUGCUCCCCUCCUCCCCGCUGCCCCCCCUGCCCCAAAUCCGCCUCCCUUCUCCUCCUCUCUCCCCCCCUUCUUUUCCCUUCUCCCAUUGCCUGUCACCGACUAGCUACAGACGGAGGAGGAGGAGGAGGAGGAGGAGGAGGAGGAGGAGGAGGAGGAGGAGGAGGAGGAGAGACUGGGAAUGAGUUGGAGACAGACACAGCCCUCCGCGCACACAGAUACGCUGCUGGAGACAGACAGGGGGAGGCGGCGGCGGCGGCGGCAGGAGGAGGAAGAGGAGGAGGAGGAGGAAGAAGAAGAGGAGGAGGAGAAAAAGAAGGGGAGGAGGAGAGGAGGAGGAAGAGAGGAGGAGGAGGAGCAGGAGGUAGGACACUUUCUAUCAGGCAGCAGUGGCAGCAGCAGCGGCAACCUCCCUCCGCCACCUUCCCCGACCCCUUCCCCGCAUCUCCCCCGUUUCCCUUUCCCCAGCCCGGGGAGGGGAUUGCUGCUGCAGGCAGAGGCAGCUGCGGGGCUCCGGGAAGGAGGUGGAAGAAGAAUACAGCUCCAGAGACUUAACCAACCGUCACACAGCUGGCCGGGACCAGAGUGGUUCUCCCUACUUCCAACACAGAGGUGUUAUUGUUGGUUUUUUCAUUACUCCAUCAGGAUCUUCUCUCAUCUACAGUAGAUGUUAUAUCUAGUAGAUAUUUUAUGCAGCAGAUUGAUUCCUGAAAAAAUUAUGUAAUUUGGUUCUUCUAAAAAUAAAAUUCCAUUUUUUUAAACA